RNAcentral lists this transfer RNA (78 nucleotides) under Fusarium acuminatum CS5907. RNAcentral's name for it is "tRNA-Ser". Lineage: Eukaryota; Fungi; Ascomycota; Sordariomycetes; Hypocreales; Nectriaceae. The record is from RNAcentral.
UCGUGCGGUAAAAAAAAAAAUAUAUUUUCUCGCACGCCAGAACUUUGUUCCGCCCCCUAUGGCGGAGCUCGCACGAGC